This 77-nucleotide transfer RNA is filed under the name Mesorhizobium sp. M1B.F.Ca.ET.045.04.1.1. RNAcentral describes it as "tRNA-Arg". It matches the Rfam family "tRNA". From Rfam's summary of the family: Transfer RNA (tRNA) molecules are approximately 80 nucleotides in length. Lineage: Bacteria; Pseudomonadati; Pseudomonadota; Alphaproteobacteria; Hyphomicrobiales; Phyllobacteriaceae. The record is from RNAcentral.
CGCCGCGUGGCUCAACUGGAUAGAGCAUCAGAUUUCGACUCUGAGGGUUGUGGGUUCGAAUCCUACCGCGGCGACCA